UUGUAAUUUGGAGAAGGUGCUUCGGGGGCGACGACGGUCCAAGUCCUUUGGAACUGGGCGUCAUAGAGGGUGAGAAUCCCGUAUGUGGCCGUCCGUCAAUCCCAUGUGAAGCCCUUUCGACGAGUCGAGUUGUUUGGGAAUGCAGCUCUAAUUUGGUGGUAAAUUUCAUCUAAAGCUAAAUAUCUGCCGGAGACCGAUAGCGCAAAAGUAGAGUGAUCGAAAGAUGAAAAGCACUUUGAAAAGAGAGUUAAAAGUACGUGAAAUUGUUGAAAGGGAAGCGCUUGCAACCAGACUCAACAGCGGGGGCUCAACCAUUCUUCGGGAUGGUGCACUCCCUCGCAGCUGGGCCAGCAUCGGUUUCGGCGGUGGGACAAAAGUCUCGGGAAAGUAGCUCUCUCCGGGGAGUGUUAUAGCCCGGGGUAUAAUGCCACCAGCCGGGACCGAGGACCGCGCAUUUGCUAGGAUGCUGGCGUAAUGGUUGCCAGCGACCCGUCUUG
RNAcentral lists this ribosomal RNA (497 nucleotides) under Platygramme caesiopruinosa. RNAcentral describes it as "eukaryotic LSU rRNA". It matches the Rfam family "Eukaryotic large subunit ribosomal RNA", at positions 143 to 656 of the family's 3401-position model. Lineage: Eukaryota; Fungi; Ascomycota; Lecanoromycetes; Ostropales; Graphidaceae. The record is from RNAcentral.